GACGAACGCUGGCGGCGUGCUUAACACAUGCAAGUCGAACGGUGAAGCUCCAGCUUGCUGGAGUGGAUCAGUGGCGAACGGGUGAGUAACAAGUGAGCAACCUGCCCCUGACUCUGGAAUAAGCGCUGGAAACGGCGUCUAAUACUGGAUACGAGAAGGGUCCGCAUGGGCACUUUCUGGAAAGUUUUUCGGUUGGGGAUGGGCUCGCGGCCUAUCAGCUUGUUGGUGAGGUAAUGGCUCACCAAGGCGACGACGGGUAGCCGACCUGAGAGGGCGACCGGCCACUCGGGGGCUGAGACACGGCCCAGACUCCAACUGGAGGCAGCAGUGGAGAAUAUUGCACAGUGGGCCAAAGCCUGUUGCAGAGACCCCGCGGGCGGGAUGACCGCCUUCGGGUUGUGAACGUCUUUCAGCAGGGAAGGAGCGAAAGUGACGGUACCUGCAGAAGAAGCACCGGCUAACUACGUG
This 468-nucleotide ribosomal RNA is filed under the name uncultured bacterium. RNAcentral's name for it is "partial 16S ribosomal RNA". It matches the Rfam family "Bacterial small subunit ribosomal RNA", at positions 28 to 507 of the family's 1533-position model. The record is from RNAcentral.